Molecule: ribosomal RNA, 477 nt
Filed under: Triticum aestivum (bread wheat)
Lineage: Eukaryota; Viridiplantae; Streptophyta; Magnoliopsida; Poales; Poaceae
Description: partial small subunit ribosomal RNA
Source: RNAcentral
AUGAGAGUCAAACCACUCUUUUUCAGCAGGGCAAGGUUCUUAGUCAGAAAUGGAGCUAAUACGAGGUUCUGGGAGGAUACGUGGCUUGGGGAGACUCCCCUUGCACUUCAAUAUCCUACUCUGUAUAACGUUGUUCAACGUAGAGAAGCUUACGUUGCAACCGUGCUACAAUCCACUGCCCUCAAUAUUAGUUUUUGGAGGACGCUAGUUGGAAAUCGUUGGGAGGCCUGGCUUCAUCUUGUAGGACGUUUGAUGGAUGUCCAGCUGUCUCAGCAGCCAGAUCAGUUGUAUUGGAAACUAACUAAGAACAGCGUGUUCUCUGUCAAAUCCAUGUAUCUGGAUGUCAUAAACUCUAGCAUCAUUCCUUCCUCGAAGCACGUUUGGAAAGUUAAGGUACCUUUGCGAAUCAAAGUGUUUAUGUGGUUUGUGCAUAAACAAGUUAUUUCGACUAAGGAUAAUCUGGCAAAACGCAACUGA